Molecule: ribosomal RNA, 414 nt
Filed under: Synchroma pusillum
Lineage: Eukaryota; Synchromophyceae; Synchromales; Synchromaceae
Description: partial Eukaryotic large subunit ribosomal RNA
Rfam family: Eukaryotic large subunit ribosomal RNA
Source: RNAcentral
GGGGAAAGGUUCCAUGUGAACAGCAGUUGGACAUGGGUUAGUCGAUCCUAAGGCAUAGGGAAGUUCCGUUUUAAAGGUGCCCUCGUGCACCGUAUGCCGAAAGGGAAGCCGGUUAACAUUCCGGCACCUAGAUGUGGAUUCUCCACGGCAACGUAACUGAACGCGGAGACGUCGGCGGGGGUCCUGGGAAGAGUUCUCUUUUCUUCUUGACAGCCUAUCACCCUGAAAUCGGUUUGUCCGGAGCUAGGGUUCAAUGACUGGUAGAGCUCGGCACCUCUGUCGGGUCCGGUGCGUUCUCGACAGCCCUUGAAAAUCCAAGGGAAUGAAUAAUUUUCACGCCUGGUCGUACUCAUAACCGCAGCAGGUCUCCAAGGUGAACAGCCUCUAGUUGAUAGAACAAUGUAGAUAAGGGAA